Molecule: ribosomal RNA, 253 nt
Filed under: uncultured bacterium
Lineage: Bacteria
Description: partial 16S ribosomal RNA
Rfam family: Bacterial small subunit ribosomal RNA
Source: RNAcentral
UACGGAGGGUGCGAGCGUUGUCCGGAAUCACUGGGCGUAAAGGGCGCGUAGGUGGCACGGGUAGUCGUCGGUGAAAGCUCAGGGCUCAACCCUGAGUCGGCCGGUGAUACUCCCGAGCUCGAGUGUGGUAGAGGCCAAUGGAGUUCCGGGUGUAGCGGUGGAAUGCGUAGAGAUCCGGAAGAACACCGGUGGCGAAGGCGGUUGGCUGGGCCACAACUGACACUGAUGCGCGACAGCGUGGGGAGCAAACAGG